Molecule: ribosomal RNA, 1368 nt
Filed under: uncultured bacterium
Lineage: Bacteria
Description: bacterial SSU rRNA
Rfam family: Bacterial small subunit ribosomal RNA
Source: RNAcentral
AGAGUUGAUCCUGGCUCAGGACGAACGCUGGCGGCGCGCCUAACACAUGCAAGUCGAACGAGAGAUGAGGAGCUUGCUCUUCAAAUCGAGUGGCGAACGGGUGAGUAACGCGUGAGGAACCUGCCUCAAAGAGGGGGACAACAGUCGGAAACGACUGCUAAUACCGCAUAAGCCCACGGCUCGGCAUCGAGCAGAGGGAAAAGGAGUGAUCCGCUUUGAGAUGGCCUCGCGUCCGAUUAGCUGGUUGGUGAGGUAACGGCCCACCAAGGCGACGAUCGGUAGCCGGACUGAGAGGUUGAACGGCCACAUUGGGACUGAGACACGGCCCAGACUCCUACGGGAGGCAGCAGUGGGGAAUAUUGCACAAUGGGGGAAACCCUGAUGCAGCGACGCCGCGUGGAGGAAGAAGGUCUUCGGAUUGUAAACUCCUGUUGUUGAGGAAGAUAAUGACGGUACUCAACAAGGAAGUGACGGCUAACUACGUGCCAGCAGCCGCGGUAAAACGUAGGUCACAAGCGUUGUCCGGAAUUACUGGGUGUAAAGGGAGCGCAGGCGGGAGAACAAGUUGGAAGUGAAAUCCAUGGGCUCAACCCAUGAACUGCUUUCAAAACUGUUUUUCUUGAGUAGUGCAGAGGUAGGCGGAAUUCCCGGUGUAGCGGUGGAAUGCGUAGAUAUCGGGAGGAACACCAGUGGCGAAGGCGGCCUACUGGGCACCAACUGACGCUGAGGCUCGAAAGUGUGGGUAGCAACAGGAUUAGAUACNCUGGUAGUCCACACCGUAAACGAUGAUUACUAGGUGUUGGAGGAUUGACCCCUUCAGUGUCGCAGUUAACACAAUAAGUAAUCCACCUGGGGAGUACGACCGCAAGGUUGAAACUCAAAGGAAUUGACGGGGGCCCGCACAAGCAGUGGAGUAUGUGGUUUAAUUCGACGCAACGCGAAGAACCUUACCAAGUCUUGACAUCCCUUGACGAACAUAGAAAUAUGUUUUCUCUUCGGAGCAAGGAGACAGGUGGUGCAUGGUUGUCGUCAGCUCGUGUCGUGAGAUGUUGGGUUAAGUCCCGCAACGAGCGCAACCCUUAUGGUCAGUUACUACGCAAGAGGACUCUGGCCAGACUGCCGUUGACAAAACGGAGGAAGGUGGGGAUGACGUCAAAUCAUCAUGCCCUUUAUGACUUGGGCUACACACGUACUACAAUGGCGUUAAACAAAGAGAAGCAAGACCGCGAGGUGGAGCAAAACUCAGAAACAACGUCCCAGUUCGGACUGCAGGCUGCAACUCGCCUGCACGAAGUCGGAAUUGCUAGUAAUCGUGGAUCAGCAUGCCACGGUGAAUACGUUCNCCGGGCCUUGUACACACCGCCCGUC